Molecule: ribosomal RNA, 368 nt
Filed under: Candidatus Zambryskibacteria bacterium RIFCSPLOWO2_01_FULL_39_39
Lineage: Bacteria; Candidatus Zambryskiibacteriota
Description: bacterial SSU rRNA
Rfam family: Bacterial small subunit ribosomal RNA
Source: RNAcentral
UUUUAGAGUUUGAUCCUAGCUCAGGAUGAACGCUGGCGGCGUGGAUAAGGCAUGCAAGUCGAAAGGGUUUAGACCCUUGGCGAACGAGGUAGUAACACGUAGGUACGCACCCUUUAGUUGAGCAUAACCCCGCGAAAGCGAGGACAAUUCUCAAUGGUUUCCGAGAGUAAAAUCGAGGAAUAAAGAUUUAUCGCUAAAGGAGCGGCCUGCGACCUAUCAGCUAGUUGGUGAGGUAAUGGCUUACCAAGGCUAUGACGGGUAGGGGGAGUGAGAGCUCGAUCCCCACCGAUGGAACUGAGAAACGGUCCAUACACCUACGGGUGGCCGCAGUCGAGAAUCUUCCGCAAUGGGCGAAAGCCUGACGGAGC